UGCAUAUCAAUAAGCGGAGGAAAAGAAACCAACAGGGAUUGCCUCAGUAACGGCGAGUGAAGCGGCAAAAGCUCAAAUUUGAAACCCUCGGGAUUGUAAUUUGAAGAUUUGGCAUUGGAGAAAGCUAACCCAAGUUGCUUGGAAUAGUACGUCAUAGAGGGUGACAACCCCGUCUGGCUAACCGUUCUCCAUGUAUUGCCUUAUCAAAGAGUCGAGUUGUUUGGGAAUGCAGCUCAAAGUGGGUGGUAAACUCCAUCUAAAGCUAAAUACUGGUGAGAGACCGAUAGCGAACAAGUACUGUGAAGGAAAGGUGAAAAGAACUUUGAAAAGAGAGUGAAAUAGUAUGUGAAAUUGUUGAUAGGGAAGGAAAUGAGUGGAGAGUGGCCGAGGUUUCAGCCGCCCCUCGUGGGCGGUGUACUGCCGACGCCGAGUCAUCGAUAGCGAGACGAGGGUUACAAAUGGGAGCGCCUUUCGGGCGUUCUCCCCUAACCCUCCACACUGCCACCGACGACAUAAUCCACCCAUUUCACCCGUCUUGAAACACGG
RNAcentral lists this ribosomal RNA (546 nucleotides) under Yarrowia lipolytica. RNAcentral describes it as "eukaryotic LSU rRNA". It matches the Rfam family "Eukaryotic large subunit ribosomal RNA", at positions 37 to 664 of the family's 3401-position model. Lineage: Eukaryota; Fungi; Ascomycota; Dipodascomycetes; Dipodascales. The record is from RNAcentral.